Molecule: long non-coding RNA, 3310 nt
Filed under: Sus scrofa (pig)
Lineage: Eukaryota; Metazoa; Chordata; Mammalia; Artiodactyla; Suidae
Description: lncRNA (ENSSSCG00015018401.1)
Source: RNAcentral
UUUUUCUUUUUGCUUUUGAGGGCUGCACCCGAGGCAUAUGGAAGUUCCCAGCUAAGGGCCGAAUCCAAGCUACAGCUGGUGGCCUACGCCACAGCCACAGCCAUGUGGGACCCGAGCUGCCUCUGUGACCGACACCGCCACUCACAGCAAUGCCGGAUCCUUAACCCACUGAGCAAGGCUAGAGAUCAAACUCGGGCCCUCAUGGAUACUAGUUGGGUUUGUUUCCGUUGAGCCACAACGGGAACUCCUGAAAGAAUUUCUUAUAAGAAGACCAAAAUUUCUUCCCUUUGUCCCAAUCUGUAAUGGCCCAUCUUGACACACUUCCAAUGACUUAGAAAUUUUUUUAAACUAUUUAUAUCUUUGCAGUUAUUUAACUGAAUGCGGUCAGGGCCAGGUUUUCGGGCAACAUUUCAGAAAUUUCACUUCCUGAGAAUCCUAGAGUGUGGUGGCCUGGGGAGAGGGGGGACAGUGGUGCAGGGUCUCCUAAAUUUGAGCCCCAGCGGGGUGUCCACAGAGACCCAUUCCUAGGCCUCCAUUCAGAGAUGGCAGACACUGGCUUAAUUCUCCCCCUGUCCCCCCUGUCCUCAAGGCCCAUUGUUCUGAAGCAGCUGAUCUCUCGGGCAUGCAGGUGAUUGCCUAAGGUUUUCUGUACCUUUUGGAAAGAGAAUAAACUUAAGUCAAAGAGUAAGCUUCCCCCUGCCCACCCUGCAAUAUAAAAAAAAAAGGGUACAAAUUGAAAAACACUGAUUCAAUAUCUCUAUAUCAUAUAGAUGCUAAAUAUCCCAAUGGCAACAAAACAGCUCACCCUGAGUAUUGAAAUGAUGAAAGGUCAAUGAGACACUGUGGCCAGGGGGGUUGGGGGGGACCCAAUCUGGCUACUACCUAAUGAAUGCAAGCAGAUCUAGUUUAUUCCUUUCGUGAACUAAUUCUUUCAGCGGUACUGUGGAAGUUGUGGAAUAUUUAUGAAGCACCUAUCACGCACCAAACACUGUACAGAUCCUGCUGCAAAAUGGAGAGACUGUACUUUCUGCUUUGGGGGGAUUAUGGGUCCUGGGGUAAGAGAGAUAGGAAAGCAAGUGUAUUUUUACAUCUUAGAUGAAUAUAGUUAAAUACGAGCCUCCCCAAAGUUCGUUCAUGGACCAGCAGAUACAUCUGACUCUUUUCUGUCCUCUUUUCUUCCAGGCUACUUAGUUCAUAGGUUCUUCCCCCCACACUCCCCACCCCUCUCUCAAGACAAGAAUUUUGACUUUUACUGUUUUCAAAAGCCAUGUGUCUUGGAGAAGCAACCAUAAAGGCAGACUCUGUAUUCCUGGAAAUCUCAGCCAUUUGCUGGUUUGACUGCAGCUCGGGGAACAGGGUUGCGGAUAUAAGAUAGCACAUGACAGCUGUCAGAUAAAGAAUGAGGGAAGGUCAUGGUUUAAAAUACUUCACAUCAUUCCAUUUUAAACUUAUCUUUUUUGGAAGAUUCUAUUUUUUUUUGGCCGCUCUCACGAUGCAGUCGCGACCUGUGCCACAGCUGCGGCAACACCGGAUCCGGAAUCUUCUGGGCCACGUGGGGACUUCCGGGAAUCAUUUUUAUAUAACAGAGGUAGCUUCUAUUUUUAAAAGCUGCCAAAUUAGAGCCCCAGGGACUAUGACACUCAACGUGUUCUUAAAAAAGUGACCCUAACCUAGGCCUUGACAGCUCUCCUUUGACAUAACCGUAAAGUAAGCCUCUCCCUCUUCAGGCAACUAAUUUUGACCCCUGCACCGUAUAUUCAUGCGAAAGCUUACAGAAAUGGUUAACAUACCUCUGAAAUAUCAAAGUGAAAGUCCAGAGUUUUCCCAGGUAAUUCCUUGGAAGCACUCGUCCACACUCGGUGUAUUUCCAUCUUUGAAAGGUCACUGUGUUGGUAGGAAGGCAAAACCAGGCUGGCAGAUCGAGACACCACCAGCUUCAGGAUAUUCAGAGCUUCCCUCCAGUGAACACUCUGAUGGUUAAAAAUAAUCUCAUUUGAAAAAGAUCAAUGGGCCACGAGCUACCCAAACUUCUUACGACCAGUCAGAACCCACUGAUUCAAAGCAGUGCAGUACGUUCCACGAUAAGUAAAUGGCCAACGACAUAGAAAGAUGAUUUAUAUAUAAGACAAGUUACAUUUGGGAAACAAGCAAAUAAAAAAGGCCGGUUUUGUCCAUAUUCAAAUAAGUAGACAUUUAAAGUAACAAGGUACCCUUUCUGCUCAUGAGGUAUCUAUCUCCUCGACUUGAAAAACAAAACAAAACAAAGAACCAACGACCCCCGACAACCCGACUGCAUUUUCCGCUACUGACCUCUGGCUCCUUCCCCAGGUUCCCCCACCUUCACUUCCGGGCUUCCUCCCCCUUCUUCUCUGGCUCUUCCUGCUCCAUUGGCCUCCUGGAUGCCUGGCCUCCUCCUCUUGCUCCUUAGCUGGCUCCCGUCCUGACCCAGGCCACUCUAAACUCCCCUCUUUCCCUCCCUCUUGAUAACAUGUUCCCCCCUCUCCAUUUCUGCCGGCACUGGCUCAGCUGAAUCCUCUCUGCCCUCUGCCUGGACAAUUUCAAUGGCCUCUUAACUGGUUUCCCUGCUUGCAGCCUCUCCUUGGGUCCAUCAGACCCACUCCAGUCACAUGAUCUUUCUAGAACUCCUCAGCUCAAGCCACUUCCCUGCCUGAACUCCUUCAAGGGCUCCCCCUGGUGGACAGUGGAGACCAUGCUCUUUAAGCCAGGCCUGGGGGGUGGGGGGUGGGGGUCAUUUGCCCCACUGACCGCUCUACUCUUGCAGUUCCCCAAACCAGGCAAGGCCUCUUAGCCUCUGUGCCUUUCCUCAUGCUAUUCCCUCAUCCUGGAAUGCCCUUCCUCUCCUUGCUUUAUCAAACUCCUUCUCCUCCUGUUGACUCUCACUUUAUUUUACCAUCUUUGUAUCCCCCAGGCCGACUCAGGGCACCUCUCCCACAAAAAACACUGAACAUAAAUAAACCUAGCUGAUAAAAGUUACUUUUUAACUAGGCCUUGAGAUAAAAGUGCAUGAAAUAAAACACAUUUCCUCCAUUGUUAAAUUCUGCCCAGGGAAGGUUAUGGUUUGAAUAUGAAAUUAGCCACCAAGAGAAGGUACUGAGUAUGGGGAUGGCCCACAGGCCUAAGAAUGGGUGGCCUAAGAAAACAAUGACUAUUUUUUAAACUGGGGCACAUGAUUCGGAGAGAAAUGUGAACUGACCCUCUGUCUCUUGUGAGUGUAAAGUGAGAAAGUGUUAAGGCCUAGCAUGGGGUACAACAAUUACUGGAGCAACGCCAUGGGAAAAAAAAAAAAAAA